This 176-nucleotide ribosomal RNA is filed under the name uncultured Bacteroidota bacterium. Its description in RNAcentral is "uncultured Bacteroidetes bacterium partial 16S ribosomal RNA". It matches the Rfam family "Bacterial small subunit ribosomal RNA", at positions 279 to 452 of the family's 1533-position model. Lineage: Bacteria; Pseudomonadati; Bacteroidota. The record is from RNAcentral.
AUAGAUAGGGGGCCUGAGAGGGUGAUCCCCCACACUGGUACUGAGACACGGACCAGACUCCUACGGGAGGCAGCAGUGAGGAAUAUUGCGCAAUGGAGGAAACUCUGACGCUAGCCAUACCGCGUGUAGGAAGAAUGUCCUAUGGAUUGUAAACUACUUUUAUACAAGAAGAAACC